RNAcentral lists this unclassified non-coding RNA (201 nucleotides) under Melitaea cinxia (Glanville fritillary). RNAcentral describes it as "misc RNA ENSMCXG00005016794.1". Lineage: Eukaryota; Metazoa; Arthropoda; Insecta; Lepidoptera; Nymphalidae. The record is from RNAcentral.
GUGGUUUCAUAGUUUCAUGUUCAAGAAUGCCAGUAGUUAUAAAGUUCGUUAACAAGGUUUGAGAAGCGAUAUGUAGUAAAGCUUUAAAGCGCUGACGUAGAAGAAACUUACAAAGGUUGCUGCGGUCUCUUUAUAUGAUUCAGGUGUUGAUUUAAGGUUUUCUUUGAGCACUUUUUUUUGAAAACUUGAUUGUUAAUUUUC